RNAcentral lists this small RNA (29 nucleotides) under Bombyx mori (domestic silkworm). Its description in RNAcentral is "ovarian small RNA-18509". Lineage: Eukaryota; Metazoa; Arthropoda; Insecta; Lepidoptera; Bombycidae. The record is from RNAcentral.
UAAAUUGCAUAACCUGCUCUUGUGGGUGG